GGGCGCAUAGCUCAGGGGUAGAGCACUGUAUUGACAUUGCAGGGGUCGGAAGUUCAAAUCUUCCUGUGCCCACCA
Molecule: transfer RNA, 75 nt
Filed under: Erythrobacter sp.
Lineage: Bacteria; Pseudomonadati; Pseudomonadota; Alphaproteobacteria; Sphingomonadales; Erythrobacteraceae
Also listed under: 6 other names
Description: tRNA-Val
Rfam family: tRNA
About the family: Transfer RNA (tRNA) molecules are approximately 80 nucleotides in length.
Source: RNAcentral